RNAcentral lists this ribosomal RNA (94 nucleotides) under Acanthosepion pharaonis. The record is from RNAcentral. Lineage: Eukaryota; Metazoa; Mollusca; Cephalopoda; Sepiida; Sepiidae.
GAAAUACUGAUUCCCGUAUGAUCACCAAAGUUAAGCAACAUCAAGCCUGAUCAGUACCUAGAUGGGUGAUCACUUCAGAAUAUCAGGUGCUGUA